ACGGGUGCGUAACGCGUGGGAAUCUGCCCUUGGGUUCGGAAUAACAGCGAGAAAUUGCUGCUAAUACCGGAUGAUGACGUAAGUCCAAAGAUUUAUCGCCCAAGGAUGAGCCCGCGUAGGAUUAGCUAGUUGGUGAGGUAAAGGCUCACCAAGGCGACGAUCCUUAGCUGGUCUGAGAGGAUGAUCAGCCACACUGGGACUGAGACACGGCCCAGACUCCUACGGGAGGCAGCAGUGGGGAAUAUUGGACAAUGGGCGAAAGCCUGAUCCAGCAAUGCCGCGUGAGUGAUGAAGGCCUUAGGGUUGUAAAGCUCUUUUACCCGGGAUGAUAAUGACAGUACCGGGAGAAUAAGCUCCGGCUAACUCCGUGCCAGCAGCCGCGGUAAUACGGAGGGAGCUAGCGUUAUUCGGAAUUACUGGGCGUAAAGCGCACGUAGGCGGCUUUGUAAGUUAGAGGUGAAAGCCUGGAGCUCAACUCCAGAAUUGCCUUUAAGACUGCAUCGCUUGAAUCCAGGAGAGGUGAGUGGAAUUCCGAGUGUAGAGGUGAAAUUCGUAGA
This 557-nucleotide ribosomal RNA is filed under the name Sphingomonas sp. BvORR023. Its description in RNAcentral is "bacterial SSU rRNA". It matches the Rfam family "Bacterial small subunit ribosomal RNA", at positions 102 to 694 of the family's 1533-position model. The record is from RNAcentral. Lineage: Bacteria; Pseudomonadati; Pseudomonadota; Alphaproteobacteria; Sphingomonadales; Sphingomonadaceae.